This 629-nucleotide ribosomal RNA is filed under the name [Acremonium] longisporum. RNAcentral describes it as "eukaryotic LSU rRNA". The stretch from base 230 to 383 matches the Rfam family "5.8S ribosomal RNA". Lineage: Eukaryota; Fungi; Ascomycota; Sordariomycetes; Hypocreales; Bionectriaceae. The record is from RNAcentral.
GGAAGUAAAAGUCGUAACAAGGUCUCCGUUGGUGAACCAGCGGAGGGAUCAUUACAGAGUGUAAAAACUCCCUAACCCGUGUGAACCUAUACCACUGUUGCUUCGGCGGACUCGCCCCGGGCGCCACCGCGCGCCCCGGAACCAGGCGGCCGCCGGGGGACCAAACCAAACUCUUGUAUCUCCAGUACGUCGUCUGAGUGGAUCUCCCCUGAAAAGGAAAUCAAAUCAAAACUUUCAACAACGGAUCUCUUGGCUCUGGCAUCGAUGAAGAACGCAGCGAAAUGCGAUAAGUAAUGCGAAUUGCAGAAUUCAGUGAAUCAUCGAAUCUUUGAACGCACAUUGCGCCCGCCAGUAUUCUGGCGGGCAUGCCUGUCUGAGCGUCAUUUCGACCCUCGCGCCCCGCGGACGUCAAGUCCGCCGGGGGGCGGUGUUGGAGGCCGGCCCACCACACCCGGUGGGCCGCCCCCGAAAUGCAGUGGCGACCGCGCCGUGGCAGACCCCUGCGUAGUACACCAACUCGCGGGAAGGCGCCCGGGACGGCCCGCCGUAAAACCCCCAACCCAUCACAAGGUUGACCUCAGAUCAGGUAGGAAUACCCGCUGAACUUAAGCAUAUCAAUAAGCGGAGGA